This 2121-nucleotide ribosomal RNA is filed under the name human metagenome. RNAcentral's name for it is "bacterial LSU rRNA". It matches the Rfam family "Bacterial large subunit ribosomal RNA", at positions 3 to 1977 of the family's 2925-position model. The record is from RNAcentral.
UCAAGUUUAGAAGGGCAUACGGCGGAUGCCUAGGCGUUUCGAAACGAAGAAGGACGCGAUAAGCUGCGAUAAGCCAUGACGAGCUGCAAGUAAGCCUUGACUCAUGGAUUUCCGAAUGGGGCAACCCGGCAAGAGUAACGUCUUGUCACUCUACCUUCGAGGUAGAGAGAAAACACCCGAUGAACUGAAACAUCUAAGUAGUCGGAGGAAAAGAAAUCAAAGAGAUUCCCUGAGUAGCGGCGAGCGAAACGGGAAGAGCCCAAACCAAGAGACUUCGGUUUCUUGGGGUUGCGGACCUGCAACAAACUGGACACUUUAGUGGAAGCAUCUGGGAAGGUGCGGCAAAGAGAGUGAGACCCUCGUACACGAAAGAGUGAAAGGCGGGCAGGGAUCCAGAGUACCACAGGGCACGAGGAACCCAGUGGGAAGCAGGGUGGACCACCAUCCAAGGCUAAAUACAUCGAAACGACCGAUAGUGAAAAGUACCGUGAGGGAAAGGUGAAAAGAACCCCGGGAGGGGAGUGCAAAAGAACCUGAAACCGUAUGUCUACAAACAGUCGGAGCACAAUUUAACGUGCGACGGCGUGCCUAUUGAAGAAUGAACCGGCGAGUUAAUUUAUGCUGCGAGGUUAAGCAGAAGAUGCGGAGCCGAAGCGAAAGCGAGUCUUAAGAGGGCGAUGAGUAGCAUGGAUUAGACCCGAAACCACAGUGAUCUAUGCAUGUCCAGGUUGAAGCUCAGGUAAAAAUGAGUGGAGGACCGAACCCGUGCGUGUUGAAAAACGUUGGGAUGAGGUGUGCAUAGGGGUGAAAUGCCAAUCGAACGUGGAGAUAGCUGGUUCUCCCCGAAAUAGCUUUAGGGCUAGCCUCAGGCGAAUCACCAUAGAGACGGUAGAGCACUGAUCGGGCAAGGGGGCGUAAAGCCUACCGACCCCAGUCAAACUACGAAUGGCUCAUAUGGGCAGCCUGGGAGUCAGAAUGCGAGUGAUAAGACCCGUAUUCAAGAGGGAAACAGCCCAGACCGCCGGCUAAGGUCCCAAAUGCUGUGCUAAGUGGAAAAGGAUGUAGGACUUCGAAAACAACCAGGAUGUUGGCUCAGAAGCAGCCACCAUUAAAAGAGUGCGUAAUAGCUCACUGGUCGAGAGGCCCUGCGCCGAAAAUAUCCGGGGCUAAAGCACAGAACCGAAGCCGCGGCAGGGGUGCACAUGUUCACAGAGCGCUCAAAGCGCAGGAAAAAUUGGUAUCUGCAAGGAAACGGAGAGCGUCGUAGCAGCGCUACGGCAAACGACGUUGACACAGCAGAGAGCAAUUUUAACAAGCUUUUUGAGCGUUGUGCUGAUGUGUACACACUGGGUAGGGGAGCGUUCUUAUCUGGACGAAGGCAGACCGGAAGGACUGCUGGACGGGUAAGAAGUGAGAAUGCCGGUAUGAGUAGCGAAACGACAGGUGAGAAUCCUGUCCACCGAAAGCCUAAGGGAUCCUGGGCAACGCUCGUCGCCCCAGGGUAAGUCGGGACCUAAGCCGAGGCGAAAAGCAUAGGCGAUGGACAACUGGCGAAAAUUCCAGUACCGGGCGUCUUCGUUUAAGGAUGGAGUGACGCAGGAAGGAAGCUGAGCGCGCGAAUGGUUGGGCGCGUCGAAGGCGGUAGGCUUGUAUGGAGGCAAAUCCCCAUACUAUAAGGCCGAGAACCGAUAGAUAGGAAAGACUACGGUCAAUCUGAAUUCAGCUGCACUACACUGCCAAGAAAAGCUUCUAACGAGAAGACGUCCGCCCGUACCAAAACCGACACAGGUAGGCGGGGAGAGAAUCCUAAGGUGCGCGGGAAAACCCUCGUUAAGGAACUCGGCAAAAUGCAUCCGUAACUUCGGGAAAAGGAUGGCCGUAGCUGGUGAAGCUUUUUACAAGUGGAGCUGGAGACGGCGGCAGAAAAGAGGCCCAAGCGACUGUUUACCACAAACACAGGUGCCUGCGAAAGCGCAAGCUGAAGUAUAGGUGCUGACGCCUGCCCGGUGCAGGAAGGUUAAGGAGAGUUGUUAGUCCUUGAGAUGAAGCAGCGAACUGAAGCCCCUGUAAACGGCGGCCGUAACUAUAACGGUCCUAAGGUAGCGAAAUUCCUUGUCGGGU